ACUGAGACACGGCCCAGACUCCUACGGGAGGCAGCAGUAGGGAAUAUUGGACAAUGGGGGAAACCCUGAUCCAGCAAUGCCGCGUGAGUGAAGAAGGCCCUCGGGUUGUAAAACUCUUUCAUCAAUGAUGAUAAUGACAUUAGUUGAAGAAGAAGCUCCGGCUAACUUCGUGCCAGCAGCCGCGGUAAUACGAAGGGGGCUAGCGUUGUUCGGAAUCACUGGGCGUAAAGCGUAUGUAGGCGGAUCAAAAAGUUAGAUGUGAAAUCCCUGGGCUCAACCCAGGAACUGCAUUUAAAACUAGUGAUCUAGAAUUUGGUAAAGGUUAGUAGAAUUUCCAGUGUAGAGGUGAAAUUCGUAGAUAUUGGAAAGAAUACCAGAAGCGAAGGCGACUAACUAGGCCAUUUUUGACGCUGAGAUACGAAAGCGUGGGUAGCAAACAGGAUUAGAUACCCUGGUAGUCCACGCAGUAAACGAUGAGUGCUAGUCGCUGGGACAAUAGUUUCAGUGUCGAAGCUAACGCAUUAAGCACUCCGCCUGGGAAGUACGGUCGCAAGAUUAAAACUCAAAUAAAUUGACGGGGGCCCGCACAAGCGGUGGAGCAUGUGGUUUAAUUCGAAGCAACGCGAAGAACCUUACCAGACCUUGACAUGGUGUGUUUGAAUUACAGAAUCGUAAUUCUUCAGUUCGGCUGGCACACACACAGGUGCUGCAUGGCUGUCGUCAGCUCGUGUCGUGAGAUGUUGGGUUAAGUCCCGCAACGAGCGCAACCCUCAUUUUUAGUUGCCAUCAGGUUAUGCUGGGCACUCUAGAAAAACUGCCGGUGAUAAGCUGGAGGAAGGCGGGGAUGACGUCAAGUCCUCAUGGCCCUUACGGUCUGGGCUACACACGUGCUACAAUGGUGGUGACAGAGGGCAGCAAUAUCGCAAGAUAAAGCUAAUCCCAAAAAACCAUCUCAGUUCGGAUUGGACUCUGCAACUCGAGUCCAUGAAGUUGGAAUCGCUAGUAAUCGUAGAUCAGCGUGCUACGGUGAAUACGUUCUCGGGCCUUGUACACACCGCCCGUCACGCCAUGGGAGUUGGUUUUACCUUAAGCCGGUGCGCUAACCGCAAGGAAGCAGCCGUCCACGGUAGGGUCAGCGACUGGGGCGAAGUCGUAACAAGGUAACCGUAGGGGAACCUGCGGUUG
RNAcentral lists this ribosomal RNA (1185 nucleotides) under metagenome. RNAcentral's name for it is "bacterial SSU rRNA". It matches the Rfam family "Bacterial small subunit ribosomal RNA", at positions 318 to 1520 of the family's 1533-position model. The record is from RNAcentral.